CAGCGAUCGGCGGCGGCUACUCCAGCAACUCCAACUACUUUGGUAAGUAGUGAUUUCUCUUUUUUUUUUUUUCUUAUUUCUUCUUCUUCUUUUUACUCCGGCCAUCAGAUGACUCAACUGUGAUUUUUGCAUACUGAUUUUCUUUCUUCUUCUUUUUCUCUUCUUAAUUCUUCCUCUAUUUUCUUCCUCUGUAACAGUGAUAAAAUGUCAUUGUAACAAUAAGCAUAAACAGUGUAUUAUGUAAAAAAAAAAAAUUAAUAUAACAUAAUAAUAUACUAAUUAAAUGACUUGAUCAUUUAAUUAGCUUAUUACUAUCUAGCUAUCUAUCUAUCUAUCUAUCUAUCUGUCUAUCUGUCUAUCUUCUAGACUUUUAGUAUCUAUCUAAUAUCUAUUUUUAAUUCUUGACUUGAAAUAUUUCCUGAUAUAUUAGUGCUAUUGAAAUUUUGAUCAUUUAUAUAUUAUUUUAAUUUUUUUAUAUUAAUUAUAGCCAUACUUUCAAAAGGUGAUCGCUUCGCCGCAUGGCGAGGUGGGACCUUAUCGCCUCUUUUCGCCUUUCAUCGUUCAAAACACUGAAGUGGACCGUACUCAUCCCUGUUGUGCGAUUUCAGUGCCGAUCCUAGUUCGACCACCACAUGUGACAGUUGAUUUGCGUGGAGAUUCAGAUUUUUGAGGUACUGAUUUGCUUUAGAGUUCGGGGC
RNAcentral lists this long non-coding RNA (698 nucleotides) under Capsicum annuum. Its description in RNAcentral is "long non-coding RNA (CANN_LNC010389)". The record is from RNAcentral. Lineage: Eukaryota; Viridiplantae; Streptophyta; Magnoliopsida; Solanales; Solanaceae.